CCUACGGGAGGCAGCAGUGAGGAAUAUUGGUCAAUGGACGAGAGUCUGAACCAGCAAAGUAGCGUGAAGGAUGACUGCUCUAUGGGUUGUAAACUUCAUCAAUAAAGGAAUAAAACGAGGCACGUGUGCAUUUUUGCAUGUACUUUAUGAAUAAGGAUCGGCUAACUCCGUGCCAGCAGCCGCGGUAAUACGGAGGAUCCGAGCGUUAUCCGGAUUUAUUGGGUUUUAAGGGAGCGUAGAUGGGUUGUUAAGUCAGUUGUGAAAGUUUGCGGCUCAACCGUAAAAUUGCAAUUGAUACUGGCAGUCUUGAGUACAGGUGAGGUAGGCGGAAUUCGUGGUGUAGCGGUGAAAUGCUUAGAUAUCACGAAGAACCCCGGUUGCGAAGGCAGCUUACUAAACUGUGACUGACAUUGAUGCUCGAAAGUGUGGGUAUCAAACAGGAUUAGAUACCCUUGUAGUC
This 460-nucleotide ribosomal RNA is filed under the name uncultured bacterium. RNAcentral describes it as "partial 16S ribosomal RNA". It matches the Rfam family "Bacterial small subunit ribosomal RNA", at positions 338 to 795 of the family's 1533-position model. The record is from RNAcentral.